Molecule: long non-coding RNA, 351 nt
Filed under: Sphaeramia orbicularis (orbiculate cardinalfish)
Lineage: Eukaryota; Metazoa; Chordata; Actinopteri; Kurtiformes; Apogonidae
Description: lncRNA (ENSSORG00005018058.1)
Source: RNAcentral
UGUGACUGUACAGAGCCAGUUCGCGUCCCUCAUGGAAACCUGGACCAAAACCGCUGUGGAGAAAAUCCUGACCAUUUUUCAAGUGUCUGUUUGCGAAGCUAAUGGAGAAUCUGCAGAGAAGAAGAGGGGCGUGAAGCUGAAAGACGCAACCGAGACCAAAAAGAAAUCGCCUGCCAAAACCAAAGAGACACCGAACAUCAAGAAAAUACAUGAACCAGGAGCAACAGGAAGAGAAGGUGACAGACAAGAAGAAGAGGAGUGUGAAGCUAAAAGACACAACAGAGAACAAAGAGAAAUCGACCACCAAAACCAAAGAGACACAGAACAUCAAGAAAAUACAUGAAACAGAAG